This 85-nucleotide transfer RNA is filed under the name Candidatus Jacksonbacteria bacterium RIFCSPHIGHO2_12_FULL_44_12. RNAcentral's name for it is "tRNA-Leu". It matches the Rfam family "tRNA". Rfam says of the family: Transfer RNA (tRNA) molecules are approximately 80 nucleotides in length. RNAcentral also lists the same sequence under 1 other name. The record is from RNAcentral. Lineage: Bacteria; Candidatus Jacksoniibacteriota.
GCCAGAGUGGUGAAAUCGGCAAACACGCACGACUCAAAAUCGUGUGCCUUACGGCUUGCGGGUUCAAUUCCCGCCUCUGGCACCA